Molecule: ribosomal RNA, 1182 nt
Filed under: Triticum aestivum (bread wheat)
Lineage: Eukaryota; Viridiplantae; Streptophyta; Magnoliopsida; Poales; Poaceae
Description: partial small subunit ribosomal RNA
Source: RNAcentral
AUGGAGUCCAUGGAGCCCAUGGACAUCGACUGGAACAGGGUGGUGUCGCGCUUCGUGCUCGACGAGACCUACGAGGGCAUCGAGGCGCCGCACUGGGCCGACCUCGCCGACCCCGAGGCCCCCACCGCCGCCGUCGACGACGACGCCUGGUUCUGCCGCCCCGAUUGCAAGCAUCCCAAGACGGCCGACGACUUCCUCGGGCACACCCCCAGCCCCAAGGCCAAGCUGCUGCGAUCAAUGUCCGCCAUGAUGCCCUUCGCCGAGAGGGACGCUAACCUCAGGGACGCCAAUAACAAUCUGAAGAGACGAGGCGUCGUCGCCGGCGGCGGCGGCACUGCCGCCUUCGCCUCGCCCACCAAGCCCAAGCCGCCGCCCAAGAAGAGGUUCCAGGACGACGCCGAGAACCAGGACCCCGCGCUGACCACGCCGCCUCCCGCGGCAAGCAGGCCGCCGUUCGGCGCGCAGCGCUGGGCCAAGAACGCCAAGGAGGCCAUCAAGUCCAGCGCGGAGAGGCGGCCGGACGUUGCUGAGAAGGAGGCGCUGCUCGGCAGGAACCCAGCGCCGAGGCAGCUCAAGAGCACUCUCUCGGCGAGGAACCUCUUCUCCGGGAAGGACAUACUUGGCCAGAUAUCGGAUUUCUACAAUGAGCUCAAGCAGCGGAUGGCCGGCCAGCAACCUGUCUCAGAGUCAGAGGCCAUGGAGGAAAUGAGCCCAAGACCAAUAAACAGCAGUGAUGUGGUGAAGAAGGUGGAUUGUAGCAGCGGCGGCGGUGGUCGGGUUCUGCCGGACGCAGCGAAGAAGGUGGCGAGGCAAGGAACAGCAGAAAAGAGUCCAAGCCCAAUGAAGGGAAAGAAGAUUGGGUUGAAGGUGGAAGCAGGGAAGCCAAGAUCACCCUCUGUGUUGAAGGAGGUGAAGGCAACACCGCCUACUCCACAGCGGUUUCCAUCCCCCUAUGUAAACCGUGUCAAGAGCGUGAAAGCUGCAGGCGCAACAUCAAGCUCGCCACUCAAGAAGCCACUGAAGGAUAAGGGGACGCCUAAUAAAGAUCAGGAGAACAGCAGAGAUGCUAAGAGGCAACCUUUUGGGGUUAAAGAUAUGAACAACAACAGGGCUUAUGAGGCCGAAGAGAGCUCCAGUGGCGUGUUUUGGUUCUUGAAGCCCUGCACUUUCCUGGUGGAGUAG